Triticum aestivum (bread wheat) is the source of this 115-nucleotide non-coding RNA. The record is from Rfam. NCBI's taxonomy places the organism in Eukaryota, Viridiplantae, Streptophyta, Magnoliopsida, Poales, Poaceae.
AAACUACUCCCUCCGUUCGGUAUUACUUGUCGCAUAAAUGGACGUAUCUAGACGUAUUUUAGUACUAGAUACAUCCAUUUCCGAGACAAGUAAUUCCGAACGGAGGAAGUAUAUC